RNAcentral lists this ribosomal RNA (445 nucleotides) under uncultured bacterium. RNAcentral describes it as "bacterial SSU rRNA". It matches the Rfam family "Bacterial small subunit ribosomal RNA", at positions 29 to 518 of the family's 1533-position model. The record is from RNAcentral.
AGCGAACGCUGGCGGCAGGCUUAACACAUGCAAGUCGAGCGGGCGUAGCAAUACGUCAGCGGCAGGCGGGUGAGUAACGCGUGGGAACAUACCUUUUGGUUCGGAACAACACAGGGAAACUUGUGCUAAUACCGGAUAAGCCCUUACGGGGAAAGAUUUAUCGCCGAAAGAUUGGCCCGCGUCUGAUUAGCUAGUUGGUGAGGUAACGGCUCACCAAGGCGACGAUCAGUAGCUGGCUGAGAGGAUGAUCAGCCACAUUGGGACUGAGACACGGCCCAAACUCCUACGGGAGGCAGCAGUGGGGAAUAUUGGACAAUGGGCGCAAGCCUGAUCCAGCCAUGCCGCGUGAGUGAUGAAGGCCCUAGGGUUGUAAAGCUCUUUUGUGCGGGAAGAUAAUGACGGUACCGCAAGAAUAAGCCCCGGCUAACUUCGUGCCAGCCGCCGC